ACGGGAGGCAGCAGUGAGGGAUAUUGCGCAAUGGAGGAAACUCUGACGCAGCGACGUCGCGUGAAGGAAGAAGGUUCUCGGAUUGUAAACUUCUGUCCUCAGGGAAGAAACAAAUGACGGUACCUGGGGAGGAAGCCCCGGCUAACUACGUGCCAGCAGCCGCGGUAAUACGUAGGGGGCUAGCGUUGUCCGGAAUUAUUGGGUGUAAAGGGCGCGUAGGCGGCUUUGCAAGUCGAACGUGAAAUCUGUAAGCUUAACUUACAGUCUGCGUUUGAAACUGUAGGGCUUGAGUGAAGUAGAGGCAAGUGGAAUUUCCAGUGUAGCGGUGAAAUGCGUAGAUAUUGGAAGGAACACCAGUGGCGAAGGCGGCUUGCUGGACUUUGACUGACGCUGAGGCGCGAAAGCGUGGGUAGCAAACAGGAUUAGAUACCCUGGUA
RNAcentral lists this ribosomal RNA (437 nucleotides) under uncultured Clostridium sp. Its description in RNAcentral is "partial 16S ribosomal RNA". It matches the Rfam family "Bacterial small subunit ribosomal RNA", at positions 341 to 792 of the family's 1533-position model. The record is from RNAcentral. Lineage: Bacteria; Bacillati; Bacillota; Clostridia; Eubacteriales; Clostridiaceae. RNAcentral also lists the same sequence under 1 other name.